AUGUUAUCAAGAAAGGUGGAGGGAUUAGACCCUAUGAAGCCUUAGCAACCCUUUGUUUUGCAAAGAAGGUGCUACAUUCUACUUAAUGUACGAUUCAUGUAUCGACACAUUGGAUAGAUAACUA
This 124-nucleotide non-coding RNA is filed under the name Xanthomarina gelatinilytica. RNAcentral describes it as "SAM-I sequence". It matches the Rfam family "SAM riboswitch aptamer (S box leader)". Rfam says of the family: The SAM riboswitch is found upstream of a number of genes which code for proteins involved in methionine or cysteine biosynthesis in Gram-positive bacteria. The record is from RNAcentral. Lineage: Bacteria; Pseudomonadati; Bacteroidota; Flavobacteriia; Flavobacteriales; Flavobacteriaceae.